RNAcentral lists this long non-coding RNA (720 nucleotides) under Pan troglodytes (chimpanzee). Its description in RNAcentral is "lncRNA (ENSPTRG00000054186.1)". The record is from RNAcentral. Lineage: Eukaryota; Metazoa; Chordata; Mammalia; Primates; Hominidae.
GCUCACACAAUUACCUCUCCCUUUUCCCUUCCACUUGGAGCCAUGAGGUUGUUGCCUUCAGUGACAUCUGCUCUUCCUAUUCCCAUUACAGUCUUGCCCAUAUAUUCUCAAUUAUAUGUUACAUAAAUAACAUAUUAUGGGAUGAAUGUUGUGGUCAGUAUGGAGAAGACAUCAUGUGAUUUGUCUUUAAUCCUUUGGCUUUCAAAACAAUUCCCUGCAGAUAACAAUACUGAAGAAAUUAAAUGAAUUCAACUAAGUAAACUAAGGAAAUACAUGGCAUGAGGGUUAAUGAGUCAACAUCAGGGUCUCAACACCUGCAGUGGAGAAAAGCCCUCUUCCCUCCAGACCUUUCCACACCCCUGCAGUCUACAGAGGAAUGGCCCUUCCUGGGGAAAAUCCAUAACUGGCUCUGUAUUUAAGGAAAUGUGACAACCUAAGUGGAUCGAGCCAUAUGAGUUUGGACAACCAGGCAGCUAUGAUGUGGCAGAAUCUAGGCGUGACAAGCUCCAAUGGAUAGACCCUGUCUUGGGAGUUUAGUAGAGAUGUGCAUGGAAUUUGAAAUCAGAUAAACUCAGGUCUUGUUGCAUGAGGCAAAUUACUUCUCUCUGAUCCUCUGAAUCAUCAUCUCUAAGAUGGUUUUAUUAUAUGGAUUGCUAACUUUGAGGAUUACCAAAUACCAGAUGCUGAAUAAGCAGUUAAUAAAUGAAAGUUAUUAUGAUC